GCUCUCGGGUGACGAGCGGCGGACGGGUGAGUAAUGUCUGGGAAACUGCCUGAUGGAGGGGGAUAACUACUGGAAACGGUAGCUAAUACCGCAUAAUGUCGCAAGACCAAAGUGGGGGACCUUCGGGCCUCAUGCCAUCAGAUGUGCCCAGAUGGGAUUAGCUAGUAGGUGGGGUAACGGCUCACCUAGGCGACGAUCCCUAGCUGGUCUGAGAGGAUGACCAGCCACACUGGAACUGAGACACGGUCCAGACUCCUACGGGAGGCAGCAGUGGGGAAUAUUGCACAAUGGGCGCAAGCCUGAUGCAGCCAUGCCGCGUGUGUGAAGAAGGCCUUCGGGUUGUAAAGCACUUUCAGCGGGGAGGAAGGCGAUAAGGUUAAUAACCUUGUCGAUUGACGUUACCCGCAAAAGAAGCACCGGCUAACUCCGUGCCAGCAGCCGCGGUAAUACGGAGGGUGCAAGCGUUAAUCGGAAUUACUGGGCGUAAAGCGCACGCAGGCGGUCUGUCAAGUCGGAUGUGAAAUCCCCGGGCUCAACCUGGGAACUGCAUUCGAAACUGGCAGGCUAGAGUCUUGUAGAGGGGGGUAGAAUUCCAGGUGUAGCGGUGAAAUGCGUAGAGAUCUGGAGGAAUACCGGUGGCGAAGGCGGCCCCCUGGACAAAGACUGACGCUCAGGUGCGAAAGCGUGGGGAGCAAACAGGAUUAGAUACCCUGGUAGUCCACGCCGUAAACGAUGUCGAUUUGGAGGUUGUGCCCUUGAGGCGUGGCUUCCGGAGCUAACGCGUUAAAUCGACCGCCUGGGGAGUACGGCCGCAAGGUUAAAACUCAAAUGAAUUGACGGGGGCCCGCACAAGCGGUGGAGCAUGUGGUUUAAUUCGAUGCAACGCGAAGAACCUUACCUGGUCUUGACAUCCACAGAACUUAGCAGAGAUGCUUUGGUGCCUUCGGGAACUGUGAGACAGGUGCUGCAUGGCUGUCGUCAGCUCGUGUUGUGAAAUGUUGGGUUAAGUCCCGCAACGAGCGCAACCCUUAUCCUUUGUUGCCAGCGGUUCGGCCGGGAACUCAAAGGAGACUGCCAGUGAUAAACUGGAGGAAGGUGGGGAUGACGUCAAGUCAUCAUGGCCCUUACGACCAGGGCUACACACGUGCUACAAUGGCAUAUACAAAGAGAAGCGACCUCGCGAGAGCAAGCGGACCUCAUAAAGUAUGUCGUAGUCCGGAUUGGAGUCUGCAACUCGACUCCAUGAAGUCGGAAUCGCUAGUAAUCGAGAUC
RNAcentral lists this ribosomal RNA (1272 nucleotides) under Bacillus sp. GN-14. Its description in RNAcentral is "bacterial SSU rRNA". It matches the Rfam family "Bacterial small subunit ribosomal RNA", at positions 80 to 1349 of the family's 1533-position model. The record is from RNAcentral. Lineage: Bacteria; Bacillati; Bacillota; Bacilli; Caryophanales; Bacillaceae.